AACGAACGCUGGCGGCAUGCCUAACACAUGCAAGUCGAACGAGACCUUCGGGUCUAGUGGCGCACGGGUGCGUAACGCGUGGGAACCUGCCCUUAGGUUCGGAAUAACUCCCCGAAAGGGGUGCUAAUACCGGAUAAUGUCUUCGGACCAAAGGUUUAUCGCCUUUGGAUGGGCCCGCGUUGGAUUAGCUAGUUGGUAGGGUAAAAGCCUACCACGGCGACGAUCCAUAGCUGGUCUGAGAGGAUGAUCAGCCACACUGGGACUGAGACACGGCCCAGACUCCUACGGGAGGCAGCAGUGGGGAAUAUUGGACAAUGGGCGAAAUCCUGAUCCAGCAAUGCCGCGUGAGUGAUGAAGGCCUUAGGGUUGUAAAGCUCUUUUACCCGGGAUGAUAAUGACAGUACCGGGAGAAUAAGCUCCGGCUAACUCCGUG
This 433-nucleotide ribosomal RNA is filed under the name uncultured bacterium. RNAcentral's name for it is "partial 16S ribosomal RNA". It matches the Rfam family "Bacterial small subunit ribosomal RNA", at positions 29 to 507 of the family's 1533-position model. The record is from RNAcentral.